AUUGAACGCUGGCGGCAGGCCUAACACAUGCAAGUCGAGCGGCAGCGGGAAAGUAGCUUGCUACUUUUGCCGGCGAGCGGCGGACGGGUGAGUAAUGCCUGGGAAAUUGCCCAGUCGAGGGGGAUCACAGUUGGAAACGACUGCUAAUACCGCAUCCGCCCUACGGGGGAAAGCAGGGGACAUUCCGGCCUUGCGCGAUUGGAUAUGCCCAGGUGGGAUUAGCUAGUUGGUGAGGUAAUGGCUCACCAAGGCGACGAUCCCUAGCUGGUCUGAGAGGGUGAUCAGACACACUGGAACUGAGACACGGUCCAGACUCCUACGGGAGGCAGCAGUGGGGAAUAUUGCACAAUGGGGGAAACCCUGAUGCAGCCAUGCCGCGUGUGUGAAGAAGGCCUUCGGGUUGUAAAGCACUUUCAGCGAGGAGGAAAGGUUGUUGGCUAAUAUCCAACAGCUGUGACGUUACUCGCAGAAGAAGCACCGGCUAACUCCGUGCCAGCCGCCGCGGUAA
This 508-nucleotide ribosomal RNA is filed under the name uncultured bacterium. Its description in RNAcentral is "partial 16S ribosomal RNA". It matches the Rfam family "Bacterial small subunit ribosomal RNA", at positions 30 to 523 of the family's 1533-position model. The record is from RNAcentral.